AGUGAACGCUGGCGGUAGGCCUAACACAUGCAAGUCGAACGGCAGCACAGUAAGAGCUUGCUCUUACGGGUGGCGAGUGGCGGACGGGUGAGGAAUACAUCGGAAUCUACUUUUUCGUGGGGGAUAACGUAGGGAAACUUACGCUAAUACCGCAUACGACCUACGGGUGAAAGCAGGGGAUCUUAGGACCUUGCGCGAUUGAAUGAGCCGAUGUCGGAUUAGCUAGUUGGCGGGGUAAAGGCCCACCAAGGCGACGAUCCGUAGCUGGUCUGAGAGGAUGAUCAGCCACACUGGAACUGAGACACGGUCCAGACUCCUACGGGAGGCAGCAGUGGGGAAUAUUGGACAAUGGGCGCAAGCCUGAUCCAGCCAUACCGCGUGGGUGAAGAAGGCCUUCGGGUCGUAAAGCCCUUUUGUUGGGAAAGAAAAGCAGCAGGUUAAUACCCCGCUGUUCUGACGGUACCCAAAGAAUAAGCACCGGCUAACUUCGUG
Molecule: ribosomal RNA, 492 nt
Filed under: uncultured bacterium
Lineage: Bacteria
Description: partial 16S ribosomal RNA
Rfam family: Bacterial small subunit ribosomal RNA
Source: RNAcentral